Molecule: ribosomal RNA, 1437 nt
Filed under: uncultured organism
Description: SSU rRNA
Rfam family: Bacterial small subunit ribosomal RNA
Source: RNAcentral
UACAGGCUUAACACAUGCAAGUCGAGGGGCAGCAUGGUCUUAGCUUGCUAAGACUGAUGGCGACCGGCGCACGGGUGAGUAACACGUAUCCAACCUGCCGUCUACUCUUGGACAGCCUUCUGAAAGGAAGAUUAAUACAAGAUGGCAUCAUGAGUCCACAUGUUCACAUGAUUAAAGGUAUUCCGGUAGACGAUGGGGAUGCGUUCCAUUAGAUAGUAGGCGGGGUAACGGCCCACCUAGUCUUCGAUGGAUAGGGGUUCUGAGAGGAAGGUCCCCCACAUUGGAACUGAGACACGGUCCAAACUCCUACGGGAGGCAGCAGUGAGGAAUAUUGGUCAAUGGGCGAGAGCCUGAACCAGCCAAGUAGCGUGAAGGAUGACUGCCCUAUGGGUUGUAAACUUCUUUUAUAAAGGAAUAAAGUCGGGUAUGCAUACCCGUUUGCAUGUACUUUAUGAAUAAGGAUCGGCUAACUCCGUGCCAGCAGCCGCGGUAAUACGGAGGAUCCGAGCGUUAUCCGGAUUUAUUGGGUUUAAAGGGAGCGUAGAUGGAUGUUUAAGUCAGUUGUGAAAGUUUGCGGCUCAACCGUAAAAUUGCAGUUGAUACUGGAUAUCUUGAGUGCAGUUGAGGCAGGCGGAAUUCGUGGUGUAGCGGUGAAAUGCUUAGAUAUCACGAAGAACUCCGAUUGCGAAGGCAGCCUGCUAAGCUGCAACUGACAUUGAGGCUCGAAAGUGUGGGUAUCAAACAGGAUUAGAUACCCUGGUAGUCCACACGGUAAACGAUGAAUACUCGCUGUUUGCGAUAUACAGCAAGCGGCCAAGCGAAAGCGUUAAGUAUUCCACCUGGGGAGUACGCCGGCAACGGUGAAACUCAAAGGAAUUGACGAGGGCCCGCACAAGCGGAGGAACAUGUGGUUUAAUUCGAUGAUACGCGAGGAACCUUACCCGGGCUUAAAUUGCAGAUGAAUUACGGUGAAAGCCGUAAGCCGCAAGGCAUCUGUGAAGGUGCUGCAUGGUUGUCGUCAGCUCGUGCCGUGAGGUGUCGGCUUAAGUGCCAUAACGAGCGCAACCCUUGUUGUCAGUUACUAACAGGUCCUGCUGAGGACUCUGACAAGACUGCCAUCGUAAGAUGUGAGGAAGGUGGGGAUGACGUCAAAUCAGCACGGCCCUUACGUCCGGGGCUACACACGUGUUACAAUGGGGGGUACAGAGGGCCGCUACCACGCGAGUGGAUGCCAAUCCCCAAAACCUCUCUCAGUUCGGACUGGAGUCUGCAACCCGACUCCACGAAGCUGGAUUCGCUAGUAAUCGCGCAUCAGCCACGGCGCGGUGAAUACGUUCCCGGGCCUUGUACACACCGCCCGUCAAGCCAUGGGAGCCGGGGGUACCUGAAGUGCGUAACCGCGAGGAGCGCCCUAGGGUAAAACUGGUGACUGGGGCU